CCUACGGGUGGCAGCAGUGAGGAAUAUUGGUCAAUGGCCGAGAGGCUGAACCAGCCAAGUCGCGUGAGGGAAGACGGCCCUACGGGUUGUAAACCUCUUUUGUCGGGGAGCAAAGCGAGUCACGUGUGCCUCCUUGAGAGUACCCGAAGAAAAAGCAUCGGCUAACUCCGUGCCAGCAGCCGCGGUAAUCCGGAGGAUGCGAGCGUUAUCCGGAUUUAUUGGGUUGAAGGGGUGCGCGGGCGGAGGGGCAAGUCAGCGGUCAAAUUGCGGGGCUCAACCCCGUACUGCCGUUGAAACUGCAUCCCUUGAGUGCGCGAGAGGUAGGCGGAAUGCGUGGUGUAGCGGUGAAAUGCAUAGAUAUCGCGCAGAACUCCGAUUGCGAAGGCAGCAUACCGGAGCGCAACUGACGCUCAUGCACGAAAGCGUGGGUAUCGAACAGGAUUAGAUACCCUUGUAGUC
Molecule: ribosomal RNA, 459 nt
Filed under: uncultured bacterium
Lineage: Bacteria
Description: partial 16S ribosomal RNA
Rfam family: Bacterial small subunit ribosomal RNA
Source: RNAcentral